CCUACGGGAGGCUGCAGUGGGGAAUAUUGCACAAUGGGGGAAACCCUGAUGCAGCGACGCCGCGUGAGUGAAGAAGUAUCUCGGUACGUAAAGCUCUAUCAGCAGGGAAGAAAAUGACGGUACCUGACUAAGAAGCCCCGGCUAACUACGUGCCAGCAGCCGCGGUAAUACGGAGGGGGCAAGCGUUAUCCGGAUUUACUGGGUGUAAAGGGAGCGUAGACGGCAGCACAAGUCUGGAGGGAAAUCCUGGGGCUUAACCCCGGAACUGCUUUUGAAACUGUGCGGCUAGAGUGCAGGAGAGGUAAGUGGAAUUCCUAGUGUAGCGGUGAAAUGCGUAGAUAUUAGGAGGAACACCGGUGGCGAAGGCAGCUUACUGGACUGUAACUGACGUUGAGGCUCGAAAGCGUGGGGAGCAAACAGGAUUAGAUACCCCAGUAGUC
This 440-nucleotide ribosomal RNA is filed under the name uncultured bacterium. Its description in RNAcentral is "partial 16S ribosomal RNA". It matches the Rfam family "Bacterial small subunit ribosomal RNA", at positions 338 to 795 of the family's 1533-position model. The record is from RNAcentral.